UAAACCACCUGCACAGUUUAAAACAUU
Molecule: small RNA, 27 nt
Filed under: Bombyx mori (domestic silkworm)
Lineage: Eukaryota; Metazoa; Arthropoda; Insecta; Lepidoptera; Bombycidae
Description: ovarian small RNA-18142
Source: RNAcentral